CUUUAUUUCUUCUACACAAUUGUCGCAGAAGAGCACAGAGGAGGGUAUCCCAAGGCGCUGGCACGUAAGAGAAGCUGUUUCUUAGUCUAAAACUGAGAGACUUAGGGCUGGGUAAGACGGGCCCAGCCGCCGGGAAAUCCCUGCAGCUCAAGGGGGGGCCGCUUUUAUUGGGCCUAAAACGUCGGUGGCUGGUUAAGAAAAGGCUGGGGUAAUUUGGUUAGCUUACCUAUACGAACACGGGGAGGACUGCUAACCUGGGGACGGGUAGAGGUUAGAGGAAUCCCUGGGGAAGAGUUGAAAUUCUGAAAUCUUGGGGGGACCACCGGUGGGGGAGGUUUUAGUUGGAACGGGUUGGAGGGUGAGGGACAAAGCCCUGGGGCGAAACCGAUUUAGUUACCCGGGAGGCCAGGGGGGAAAACCCUUCCUUUGCUUUGAGGUUGGUGGGGCUCCCGGCCCCAACUUGGUGUCGGGAAAAAAAUUUUUUUAAACAAACCUGCCUGGGAAAGGACGGCCCCCAAAAAUUAAAAAUUUAAAGGGAUUUGGGGGGGGGGAAAAGGGGGAAUUUCUUUUAAACCUUGCGGGGCUUUGGCCCCUUUUGGGGGGGGUUAUUUCUUAGGCUUGGGGGAAACCUGGGCCAAAGUUUUUUUCCGGAA
Molecule: ribosomal RNA, 653 nt
Filed under: uncultured archaeon
Lineage: Archaea
Description: partial 16S ribosomal RNA
Rfam family: Archaeal small subunit ribosomal RNA (bases 1-498)
Source: RNAcentral